RNAcentral lists this ribosomal RNA (579 nucleotides) under uncultured Serratia sp. RNAcentral's name for it is "bacterial SSU rRNA". It matches the Rfam family "Bacterial small subunit ribosomal RNA", at positions 102 to 677 of the family's 1533-position model. The record is from RNAcentral. Lineage: Bacteria; Pseudomonadati; Pseudomonadota; Gammaproteobacteria; Enterobacterales; Yersiniaceae.
ACGGGUGAGUAAUGUCUGGGAAACUGCCUGAUGGAGGGGGAUAACUACUGGAAACGGUAGCUAAUACCGCAUAACGUCGCAAGACCAAAGAGGGGGACCUUCGGGCCUCUUGCCAUCAGAUGUGCCCAGAUGGGAUUAGCUAGUAGGUGGGGUAAUGGCUCACCUAGGCGACGAUCCCUAGCUGGUCUGAGAGGAUGACCAGCCACGCUGGAACUGAGACACGGUCCAGACUCCUACGGGAGGCAGCAGUGGGGAAUAUUGCACAAUGGGCGCAAGCCUGAUGCAGCCAUGCCGCGUGUGUGAAGAAGGCCUUCGGGUUGUAAAGCACUUUCAGCGAGGAGGAAGGUGGUGAGCUUAAUACGCUCAUCAAUUGACGUUACUCGCAGAAGAAGCACCGGCUAACUCCGUGCCAGCAGCCGCGGUAAUACGGAGGGUGCAAGCGUUAAUCGGAAUUACUGGGCGUAAAGCGCACGCAGGCGGUUUGUUAAGUCAGAUGUGAAAUCCCCGGGCUCAACCUGGGAACUGCAUUUGAAACUGGCAAGCUAGAGUCUCGUAGAGGGGGGUAGAAUUCCAGGUGUA